Molecule: unclassified non-coding RNA, 333 nt
Filed under: soil metagenome
Description: partial contains 5.8S ribosomal RNA, internal transcribed spacer 2, and large subunit ribosomal RNA
Rfam family: 5.8S ribosomal RNA (bases 1-120)
Source: RNAcentral
GAUGAAGAACGCAGCGAAAUGCGAUAAGUAAUGUGAAUUGCAGAAUUCCGUGAAUCAUCGAAUCUUUGAACGCACAUUGCGCCCCGUGGUAUUCCGCGGGGCAUGCCUGUUCGAGCGUCAUUUCACCACUCAAGCCUCGCUUGGUAUUGGGCGACGCGGUCCGCCGCGCGCCUCAAAUCGACCGGCUGGGUCGAUCGCACCCUCAGCGUUGUGGAAACUAUUCGCUAAAGGAGUUGUGGUCGGUCACGCCGUGAAACAAACCAAUCUUUCAAUGGUUGACCUCGGAUCAGGUAGGGAUACCCGCUGAACUUAAGCAUAUCAAUAAGCGGAGGA